RNAcentral lists this ribosomal RNA (409 nucleotides) under uncultured bacterium. RNAcentral describes it as "bacterial SSU rRNA". It matches the Rfam family "Bacterial small subunit ribosomal RNA", at positions 356 to 774 of the family's 1533-position model. The record is from RNAcentral.
AGGGAAUAUUGCGCAAUGGACGGAAGUCUGACGCAGCGACGCCGCGUGAGCGAUGAAGGUCUUCGGAUCGUAAAGCUCUGUCCUUGGGGAAGAAGGCGAAAGCUUGACGGUACCCAAGAAGAAAGCCCCGGCUAACUACGUGCCAGCAGCCGCGGUAAUACGUAGGGGGCGAGCGUUGUCCGGAAUUACUGGGCGUAAAGGGUGCGUAGGCGGCCCUUUAAGUCGGAUGUGAAAGCCCGCGGCUUAACCGCGGAAUGGCAUUCGAAACUGGAGGGCUUGAGUGUCGGAGAGGGUGGUGGAAUUCCCGGUGUAGCGGUGACAUGCGUAGAUAUCGGGAGGAACACCGGUGGCGAAGGCGACCUCCUGGCCUGUUACUGACGCUGAGGCGCGAAAGCUGGGGGAGCAAACA